GGAGACCACCGACGGCCAUGUUAGGUGGUUCCGGAGCUGCGGCCCCGAGCGGGCUGAAGAUCUCAGUGCGUGCGGAGCUUGAGUGGUGGCGCGGUGGGGGACGGUGCCGGACCCCUGCUGCAUUGUUUUACUACAGGAAUGGUUGGAAGGUAGCCGAGCGGGAACGGGACGCUGCUCUGACUCCGUAGAUCACACCAGGGGUAAACGUUUCCCCCAGUGAAGAAGGGGAGAGGCAGAAAGGACGUAUGAAUUAUGAUUAGGCGUAUUGGUAUAUGCAGCUCUGCGGUCUGAUCCGUAACACUGAAUCAAUCUAGAGUAUAUGCUGAAAGACUGCGAAGACUCGAAGCUCAUCAGUGUGGAGAACCAGAUUCUUCAUUGUGGAAAGAUGAGAAAUUUCCUUUCCUCCUGAUGGUGUAUGAAGGGUUAAAAUACUGAUCUGUGUGCUUUGUGCUGUUUAUUCUCUGUGCAUUUGCAGUUUAUUCAGAAAAAAAAACCUAUAGAUGUAGCUCAGUGGUAGAGCACAUCCAGCCUAGGUCAUCCAAGGUCCUGUGUUCAGUUCCCCAGCACUGAUGGGGUUUGUUUGGGUCAGUUGACUUACGCACUACACCUCUCUGACAGGAGUUAAUAAAAUUACAGCUGAUAAGGUAAUCCUAUCAAAGAAAAGUAGACAAAAUGAUUUUUCAAAGACUCACAUGUUGUGCAUCUGGAAACAAGCCACAUGUGUGGUUUUCAUCCUGAGGUGAUGUGCAUGUUGGUGUCAUCCAUGAAUUCAACAGUUUUAAAAGCUCACAAAUAUUCCUACGUAAGCACGUGCAAAUAAUGAUGGGCUGGACAGAUGGUUUAGUGAUUAAGGUGCUUGCCUGCAAAGCCUAAGGACCCAUGUUAGACUCUCCAGUUGCCAUGUGAACCAGGCGCACGAGGUGAUGCAAGCACACAAAGCUGCACAUGUGCACAAGGUGGUGCACUCAUCUGAAGUUGGAUUGCAGUGGCUGGAGCUCCUGACGUGCCCAUUCUGUCUCCCUCUCUCUCACUUGCUCUCUUAAAAAAUUUGCCAAAAGUUACUUUUUAAGCCAGGUGUGCUGGCUCAUGCCUUUAAUUCCAGCACUCUUGGGAGGCAGAGAUAGGAGGAUCGCAGCGAGUUCAAGGCCACCUGAGACUGCCUAGUAAAAUCCAGGUCAUCCUGGC
Jaculus jaculus (lesser Egyptian jerboa) is the source of this 1185-nucleotide long non-coding RNA. RefSeq lists it as uncharacterized. The record is from RefSeq and is a predicted model, not a curated record. The transcript is spliced from 4 exons. Lineage: Eukaryota; Metazoa; Chordata; Mammalia; Rodentia; Dipodidae.